RNAcentral lists this ribosomal RNA (491 nucleotides) under uncultured bacterium. Its description in RNAcentral is "partial 16S ribosomal RNA". It matches the Rfam family "Bacterial small subunit ribosomal RNA", at positions 29 to 507 of the family's 1533-position model. The record is from RNAcentral.
GUGAACGCUGGCGGUAGGCCUAACACAUGCAAGUCGAACGGCAGCACAGUAAGAGCUUGCUCUUACGGGUGGCGAGUGGCGGACGGGUGAGGAAUACAUCGGAAUCUACUUUUUCGUGGGGGAUAACGUAGGGAAACUUACGCUAAUACCGCAUACGACCUACGGGUGAAAGCAGGGGAUCUUCGGACCUUGCGCGAUUGAAUGAGCCGAUGUCGGAUUAGCUAGUUGGCGGGGUAAAGGCCCACCAAGGCGACGAUCCGUAGCUGGUCUGAGAGGAUGAUCAGCCACACUGGAACUGAGAAACGGUCCAGACUCCUACGGGAGGCAGCAGUGGGGAAUAUUGGACAAAGGGCGCAAGCCUGAUCCAGCCAUACCGCGUGGGUGAAGAAGGCCUUCGGGUUGUAAAGCCCUUUUGUUGGGAAAGAAAAGCAGCAGGUUAAUACCCCGCUGUUCUGACGGUACCCAAAGAAUAAGCACCGGCUAACUUCGUG